Podarcis lilfordi (Lilford's wall lizard) is the source of this 74-nucleotide non-coding RNA. NCBI's taxonomy places the organism in Eukaryota, Metazoa, Chordata, Lepidosauria, Squamata, Lacertidae. The record is from the annotation of a GenBank genome assembly.
GGAAAACCAUAGUUCAGCGGUAGAGCAUCUGCUUUGCAUGCAAAAGGUCCUGGGUUCAAAUCUCGCCAUCUCUA